CCUACGGGAGGCAGCAGUGGGGAAUAUUGGACAAUGGGCGGAAGCCUGAUCCAGCCAUGCCGCGUGUGUGAAGAAGGCCUUAUGGUUGUAAAGCACUUUAAGCGAGGAGGAGGCUACUUAGAUUAAUACUCUAGGAUAGUGGACGUUACUCGCAGAAUAAGCACCGGCUAACUCUGUGCCAGCAGCCGCGGUAAUACAGAGGGUGCGAGCGUUAAUCGGAUUUACUGGGCGUAAAGCGUGCGUAGGCGGCUUUUUAAGUCGGAUGUGAAAUCCCCGAGCUUAACUUGGGAAUUGCAUUCGAUACUGGGAAGCUAGAGUAUGGGAGAGGAUGGUAGAAUUCCAGGUGUAGCGGUGAAAUGCGUAGAGAUCUGGAGGAAUACCGAUGGCGAAGGCAGCCAUCUGGCCUAAUACUGACGCUGAGGUACGAAAGCAUGGGGANCAAACAGGAUUAGAUACCCUGGUAGUCCAUGCCGUAAACGAUGUCUACUAGCCGUUGGGGCCUUUGAGGUCUUUAGUGGCGCGGCUAACGCGAUAAGUAGACCGCCUGGGGAGUCGGUCGCAAGACUAAAACGUUAAGAGUAGUAGACGNGAGAGCGNGACGAGGCACAGGGAGGGAG
This 617-nucleotide ribosomal RNA is filed under the name uncultured bacterium. RNAcentral describes it as "bacterial SSU rRNA". It matches the Rfam family "Bacterial small subunit ribosomal RNA", at positions 338 to 945 of the family's 1533-position model. The record is from RNAcentral.